AGCAGUCGCCGCGGUAAUACGUAGGUGGCAAGCGUUGUCCGGAAUUAUUGGGCGUAAAGGGCUCGCAGGCGGUUUCUUAAGUCUGAUGUGAAAGCCCCCGGCUCAACCGGGGAGGGUCAUUGGAAACUGGGAAACUUGAGUGCAGAAGAGGAGAGUGGAAUUCCACGUGUAGCGGUGAAAUGCGUAGAGAUGUGGAGGAACACCAGUGGCGAAGGCGACACUCUGGUCUGUAACUGACGCUGAGGAGCGAAAGCGUGGGGAGCGAACAGGAUUAGAGACCCCAGUAGUCCCUGUCUCUUAUAC
This 303-nucleotide ribosomal RNA is filed under the name uncultured bacterium. RNAcentral describes it as "partial 16S ribosomal RNA". It matches the Rfam family "Bacterial small subunit ribosomal RNA", at positions 507 to 807 of the family's 1533-position model. The record is from RNAcentral.